Molecule: small nuclear RNA, 19 nt
Filed under: Arabidopsis thaliana (thale cress)
Lineage: Eukaryota; Viridiplantae; Streptophyta; Magnoliopsida; Brassicales; Brassicaceae
Description: snRNA_08315
Source: RNAcentral
GGCUUGUGGCAGCCAAGCG